This 1380-nucleotide ribosomal RNA is filed under the name Triticum aestivum (bread wheat). RNAcentral describes it as "partial small subunit ribosomal RNA". The record is from RNAcentral. Lineage: Eukaryota; Viridiplantae; Streptophyta; Magnoliopsida; Poales; Poaceae.
AUGACCGUCGGCCUCCCCGACUCCUUCUCCGCCCGCUUCCACCCCUUCUCCGCCCUCGAGGUCAUCCACCUCCACUGCGUCCGCAUCUCCGACGGCACACUCCGUAGCCUGGUCGCCGCGUGCCCCCUCCUCCACACCCUCGAUUUGCGCUACUGCGAAGGCCUCUACUUCAUCAGCGUCGCCGCGGCCGGGGCACGCCCGAGGAGCCUCACCGUUGCACAGUGCGGUUCGGACACCGAAGUUUUUCUUGCCGACGAUGCGUCCGGCCUGCGCUCAUUCCACUACAGCGGCGCCUACAUGCCUGCCUACCGCAUACCGGCCACCACCGCUCUUGCUGACCUUUACAUCUGCUUCGGAGGACCUGAACGCCGGGGGCGGCGCAGAAACUGGCUUCAACUACUAACCAAUCUGUCCAACCUCACUGUGCUUACCCUCUGCAGCAGAGUCCUACGGGUUCGUCGCUCUCUGCAUUUCAUGCCAUCCGGGUUGAUCUCAAUACUCAGUUACUGUCUUAUUGAUAACUUUCUUCGUUGCUAUGCUUUGCAGAGACUGUCUGCCGAAGCUCGUGCCAGGUUAGUUGCCACAAGUGCUGCACCAUGCAAAUUGCUGAAUUUGAGAGAGCUUCAGCUACUGAUGUUCGCAUUGGAGAUCGACAACAUGAACGACAUUUACUGUUUCCUCGUGACCUGCUGUGGCCCUCGAUUGGAGAGGUUAUUUGUGCAGCUUCCUACAAGUAGUUAUCAAGAUAAGCCAGAGGAUGAACCAUCAGGAUCAGAAUCAGAGGAAGAUGGGUCAGUGGAAGAGCUAUCAGAGCAAGAGGCAUCAGAUGAAGAUGAGCUAGAUGAACACUUUUCAGAAGGAGAAACACUGGAGAAAGAUGGGCUAGAGGAAGAGCUGUCUGAGGGAGAUGCCCUGGAGGAAGAGCUGUCAGAGGGAGAUGAGCUAGAGGAAGAGCUGUUAGAGGGAGAUGACCUAGAGGAAGAGCUGUUGGAGGGAAUUGAACUCGAGGAAGAGUUGUCAGAGGGAGAGCCACCUGAAGAAAAUCAAUCACAGAAACAUGGAUCGAUGGAAGAGAUAUCUGAUGGAGAUGGCUUUGAAAACCUUCUGUUGGUCAACAUGAUGAAUAUCAAGGGGCGCCACAAUGAGAUGCAGCUAGUAAGCCUUUUCUUGAAGAAGUCUACAAGUCUCAACCAACUGAUACUGUUUACUCCCAAGAUUGAUCACCCAGAAUGGCUUCAGAAAGAUCAUAUGAAUACUUCACAUAUUCUUGACAGAAAACUAUCGCCUCUCAGAAAGGCCUCACCGAAUGUUCAGAUAGUUCUCAGUGAGCCUGAUGAUAGUGCAAUCCAGCCGUUGCACGAGGCUUUUGUCAAGGUUUAA